This 274-nucleotide ribosomal RNA is filed under the name uncultured bacterium. RNAcentral's name for it is "partial 16S ribosomal RNA". It matches the Rfam family "Bacterial small subunit ribosomal RNA", at positions 523 to 796 of the family's 1533-position model. The record is from RNAcentral.
AUACGAAGGGGGCAAGCGUUGUUCGGAAUAACUGGGCGUAAAGCGCACGUAGGCGGAAUGUUAAGUUAGAGGUGAAAUCCCAGGGCUCAACCCUGGAACUGCCUUUAAUACUGGCAAUCUAGAGACCGAGAGAGGUGAGUGGAAUUCCGAGUGUAGAGGUGAAAUUCGUAGAUAUUCAGAGGAACACCAGUGGCGAAGGCGGCUCACUGGCUCGGUACUGACGCUGAGGUGCGAAAGCGUGGGGAGCAAACAGGAUUAGAUACCCUAGUAGUCC